Molecule: transfer RNA, 80 nt
Filed under: Perkinsus olseni
Lineage: Eukaryota; Perkinsozoa; Perkinsida; Perkinsidae
Rfam family: tRNA
About the family: Transfer RNA (tRNA) molecules are approximately 80 nucleotides in length.
Source: Rfam by way of RNAcentral
GACAGUUUGGCCUAAUGGUCUAAGGCGUUAGCUUCAGGCGCUCACCCGCAAAGGCGCGAGUUCGACUCUCGCAGCUGUUA